Molecule: microRNA precursor, 59 nt
Filed under: Tribolium castaneum (red flour beetle)
Lineage: Eukaryota; Metazoa; Arthropoda; Insecta; Coleoptera; Tenebrionidae
Description: microRNA tca-mir-11633 precursor
Source: miRBase by way of RNAcentral
CCAUUUCGGCCGGAGACUUCAACGCUCGCGCAAGCGACGAGCGCCUCCGGGCGAUGAAA